This 1554-nucleotide ribosomal RNA is filed under the name Escherichia coli. Its description in RNAcentral is "bacterial SSU rRNA". It matches the Rfam family "Bacterial small subunit ribosomal RNA". The record is from RNAcentral. Lineage: Bacteria; Pseudomonadati; Pseudomonadota; Gammaproteobacteria; Enterobacterales; Enterobacteriaceae.
AAAUUGAAGAGUUUGAUCAUGGCUCAGAUUGAACGCUGGCGGCAGGCCUAACACAUGCAAGUCGAACGGUAACAGGAAACAGCUUGCUGUUUCGCUGACGAGUGGCGGACGGGUGAGUAAUGUCUGGGAAACUGCCUGAUGGAGGGGGAUAACUACUGGAAACGGUAGCUAAUACCGCAUAACGUCGCAAGACCAAAGAGGGGGACCUUCGGGCCUCUUGCCAUCGGAUGUGCCCAGAUGGGAUUAGCUAGUAGGUGGGGUAACGGCUCACCUAGGCGACGAUCCCUAGCUGGUCUGAGAGGAUGACCAGCCACACUGGAACUGAGACACGGUCCAGACUCCUACGGGAGGCAGCAGUGGGGAAUAUUGCACAAUGGGCGCAAGCCUGAUGCAGCCAUGCCGCGUGUAUGAAGAAGGCCUUCGGGUUGUAAAGUACUUUCAGCGGGGAGGAAGGGAGUAAAGUUAAUACCUUUGCUCAUUGACGUUACCCGCAGAAGAAGCACCGGCUAACUCCGUGCCAGCAGCCGCGGUAAUACGGAGGGUGCAAGCGUUAAUCGGAAUUACUGGGCGUAAAGCGCACGCAGGCGGUUUGUUAAGUCAGAUGUGAAAUCCCCGGGCUCAACCUGGGAACUGCAUCUGAUACUGGCAAGCUUGAGUCUCGUAGAGGGGGGUAGAAUUCCAGGUGUAGCGGUGAAAUGCGUAGAGAUCUGGAGGAAUACCGGUGGCGAAGGCGGCCCCCUGGACGAAGACUGACGCUCAGGUGCGAAAGCGUGGGGAGCAAACAGGAUUAGAUACCCUGGUAGUCCACGCCGUAAACGAUGUCGACUUGGAGGUUGUGCCCUUGAGGCGUGGCUUCCGGAGCUAACGCGUUAAGUCGACCGCCUGGGGAGUACGGCCGCAAGGUUAAAACUCAAAUGAAUUGACGGGGGCCCGCACAAGCGGUGGAGCAUGUGGUUUAAUUCGAUGCAACGCGAAGAACCUUACCUGGUCUUGACAUCCACGGAAGUUUUCAGAGAUGAGAAUGUGCCUUCGGGAACUGUGAGACAGGUGCUGCAUGGCUGUCGUCAGCUCGUGUUGUGAAAUGUUGGGUUAAGUCCCGCAACGAGCGCAACCCUUAUCCUUUGUUGCCAGCGGUCCGGCCGGGAACUCAAAGGAGACUGCCAGUGAUAAACUGGAGGAAGGUGGGGAUGACGUCAAGUCAUCAUGGCCCUUACGACCAGGGCUACACACGUGCUACAAUGGCGCAUACAAAGAGAAGCGACCUCGCGAGAGCAAGCGGACCUCAUAAAGUGCGUCGUAGUCCGGAUUGGAGUCUGCAACUCGACUCCAUGAAGUCGGAAUCGCUAGUAAUCGUGGAUCAGAAUGCCACGGUGAAUACGUUCCCGGGCCUUGUACACACCGCCCGUCACACCAUGGGAGUGGGUUGCAAAAGAAGUAGGUAGCUUAACCUUCGGGAGGGCGCUUACCACUUUGUGAUUCAUGACUGGGGUGAAGUCGUAACAAGGUAACCGUAGGGGAACCUGCGGUUGGAUCACCUCCUUACCUUAAAGAAGC